GACGAACGCUGGCGGCGUGCUUAACACAUGCAAGUCGAACGGGAUUUAGUAGACAGAAGCCUCGGCUAAAGAUUACUAAUGAGAGUGGCGAACGGGUGAGUAACGCGUGAGCAACCUGCCUAUGACAGUGGGAUAGCCUCGGGAAACCGGGAUUAAUACCGCAUAAAAUCGUAGAAACACAUGUUUUAACGGUCAAAGAUUUAUCGGUCAUAGAUGGGCUCGCGUCUGAUUAGCUAGUUGGUGCGAUAACAGCCCACCAAGGCGACGAUCAGUAGCCGGUCUGAGAGGAUGAACGGACACAUUGGAACUGAGACACGGUCCAAACUCCUACGGGAGGCAGCAGUGGGGAAUAUUGCACAAUGGGGGAAACCCUGAUGCAGCGACGCCGCGUGAACGAAGAAGGUAUUCGUAUCGUAAAGUUCUGUCCUAUGGGAAGAUAAUGACAGUACCAUAGAAGAAAGCUCCGGCUAAAUACGUG
RNAcentral lists this ribosomal RNA (478 nucleotides) under uncultured bacterium. Its description in RNAcentral is "partial 16S ribosomal RNA". It matches the Rfam family "Bacterial small subunit ribosomal RNA", at positions 28 to 507 of the family's 1533-position model. The record is from RNAcentral.